This 468-nucleotide ribosomal RNA is filed under the name uncultured bacterium. Its description in RNAcentral is "partial 16S ribosomal RNA". It matches the Rfam family "Bacterial small subunit ribosomal RNA", at positions 28 to 507 of the family's 1533-position model. The record is from RNAcentral.
GACGAACGCUGGCGGCGUGCUUAACACAUGCAAGUCGAACGGAAAGACCCUGCUUUUGUGGGGUGCUCGAGUGGCGAACGGGUGAGUAACACGUGAGUAACCUGCCCUUGACUUUGGGAUAACUUCAGGAAACUGGGGCUAAUACCGGAUAGGAGCUCCUGCUGCAUGGUGGGGGUUGGAAAGUUUCGGCGGUUGGGGAUGGACUCGCGGCUUAUCAGCUUGUUGGUGGGGUAGUGGCUUACCAAGGCUUUGACGGGUAGCCGGCCUGAGAGGGUGACCGGCCACAUUGGGACUGAGAUACGGCCCAGACUCCUACGGGAGGCAGCAGUGGGGAAUAUUGCACAAUGGGCGGAAGCCUGAUGCAGCAACGCCGCGUGCGGGAUGACGGCCUUCGGGUUGUAAACCGCUUUCGCCUGUGGCGAAGCGUGAGUGACGGUAAUGGGUAAAGAAGCACCAGCUAACUACGUG